This 112-nucleotide ribosomal RNA is filed under the name Caerostris darwini. Lineage: Eukaryota; Metazoa; Arthropoda; Arachnida; Araneae; Araneidae. The record is from RNAcentral.
AACGGCCGUACCAUGCUGAAUAUACCGGUUCUCGUUAGAUCAUCGAAGUUAAGCAUCAUUGGGCGCGGUCAGUACUUGGAUGGGUGACCACCUGGGAAUACUGCGUGCCGUU